Molecule: ribosomal RNA, 253 nt
Filed under: uncultured bacterium
Lineage: Bacteria
Description: partial 16S ribosomal RNA
Rfam family: Bacterial small subunit ribosomal RNA
Source: RNAcentral
UACGGGGGGAGCAAGCGUUGUUCGGAUUUACUGGGCGUAAAGCGCGCGCAGGAGGCUAUCCAAGUCAGUGGUGAAAGCCCGGAGCUCAACUCCGGAACUGCCAUUGAAACUGUUUAGCUUGAGGAUGAGAGAGGUGAGUGGAAUUCCCAGUGUAGAGGUGAAAUUCGUAGAUAUUGGGAAGAACACCGGUGGCGAAGGCGGCUCACUGGCUCAUUACUGACGCUCAGGCGCGAUAGCGUGGGGAUCAAACAGG